AGAUUCUGGAGGCCCCCGCAGCCGGCCAGUGAUGCCGCUUCUCGCUCAGACAGCAGCUCCCUUCUGGGACUUAAAGCUUGUUGGCGGCGGUGUUUCAGGGGCCGCGGACAGGGCGGGGCCGCACAGACGCCCCGCCCACCGCCGACGAGGCUCCAGACCCGAGUCCCAGGGAGAGGCCGAGCCCAGCGGGGCCAGAGGGCGGCCGGGCGGCGAAGAUCUGAGCCCCAGCUCCCUCGGCCCGCAGUGCGUGGAAGGGGCGAUCCCGACGCGGACUUGAAAGAAGGCCAGCCGGACCCGUGCCCGCAUCCUCCCCGGCGACGCUCGGAGCUUGCUGCAGCCGCCAAGCACGGGGCACCAUCGGAUUCAGGCAGCACCCAGUGCGGGCCGCGGAGAGGGGACCACAGUUCGGCUCUGGCCACCUCGGGUGCGGGGCAGCCAGGUUAGCCCGCCGCUUGUGCCCAAAGCUCCUGAUGUUAGCGGCCUCUGCAGAGAUACCGCUUCAGACCCCCUAGGAAGGCAAUGAUUUGGUCUGGCACUUCAUGAUGCCACCUUAUACCAUCGCCAUAAUCCUCCAGGGUGAAAGAAUUAUCAGCCCUAUUCUAUAGAGGAAGCCAUGUCCGACUCUUUGCGGCCGCAUGGACUGCAGUCGGCCAGGCUCCGUGGACAGAGCAAAGAGUCUGACACGACUGAGAGGCUAAGCACAGAGCACAGCACAGAGAUGGAGAAACCGAGGUUCCAAGAGCGCCCUUGCCUGUAUGUGCUGGACACACAUAUGUACUCUUGAAAAUGUGUGUGUGUGUGUGUGUGUGUGUGUGUAACUAAGCCAAGCCAUGUGGCUGUCUCUUCAGUCCAAGCACCAUCCUCCUAGCCAGGCACUCAGACAGCAGGCACCAGCCAGGACUUCAGCACUAUUUCCUCUUGUGGGAAGCAGUUUUCCCAGGCCUUGCCAGCAAACUGGCCACAUGUGGAUUGGAGAGAGGCCGAGUGCAGCAUUUCCUCCAGGUCCCAGGAGAAGGAGGAGGUGUUCCAGUGCAGCAGGGGUCUGUGUGUGUGUCUGUGCCUGUGCCCGUGUGUGGGCAUUUGGGUGGGGUUGUGAAGGUCCCCCUUGUGCUGUCAGUCACUGCGUAGUCUGAGUGUCUGUGUAAAUGUCACUUGCGUGAGGGUCUGUUCUCUUGGUAUCUCUGUAUGCCUGUGCGAUUAUGUGUGUGGUGUGUGAUUUUUCUGCUGGCUUUGGAAGUGUGUCUAAAUGUGCCUUUCAGUGGGAUUGUGAAUUCGUAUGCCUGCCCAUGUCUUUGUGAAUAUCUGGGCCGGCUUCUGUGUGUGACUGUGCAUCUCUCUGCAUAUCUGUGUGUGUCUUCAAGGGUUCAUCACCGCCACCACCACCNNNNNNNNNNNNNNUCCUGGACGCAAUAACCUGGCAGGACUUGGGGUCACGGGUUGGCCUGGGCCUGGGGCUGGUGGGCGGCUGUGGGAGAGGGGGGAGGCCUGAGAGGCGGGCCCUACAGCUCACAUUCCAGCCAGGAAAAGAGAGGCCAGAGCAGGCCCAGCCCUCACCCCAGUGACCUCUGCAUCCGCUGUCUGCCCGCCCACCCAUGUGGGGCUGCCUCCUGCUUGGCUAGCCCCAAGCCCAGCGCUCCAGGAGCCAGAGGCCAGUCACCAGCCAGCUAGGUGGGGGCUGCAAGAACUCUCUGACGAGCUCCAACAUGCUGAGGCUCAUGGAGCAGACAGAUUCGUUCCUGGGCCCAGGGUCUUGGUGGAGGAUGUCUGGGCAUCGCUGCCAAGCAUGUGUAUGAGGGGUGAGUAGAUGAGUGUUUGGGCAUAUCUGGAUCAUAUAUGUUUGCCCAUAAUAUCUGUGUUUACACAUAUGCAUGUGUUUAUGUGUGUCUUUUUUUGGAUUUGUGAUUGUGGGCACGAGUGUGUUUUGUGCAUGAGUGGGUGUAUUUAAAUAUUUGUAUUGUACAUGCUUUGGAGAAGGAAAUGGCAACCCACUUCAGUAUUCUUGCCCUGGGGAGAAUUCCAUGGACAGAGGAGCCUGGUGGGCUACAGUCCAUGGGGUC
RNAcentral lists this long non-coding RNA (2057 nucleotides) under Capra hircus (goat). RNAcentral describes it as "lncRNA (ENSCHIG00010009321.1)". The record is from RNAcentral. Lineage: Eukaryota; Metazoa; Chordata; Mammalia; Artiodactyla; Bovidae.